UUAGCACAGCAAAGGUGAUUUCAUCUUGUGUCAUCUGAUGUUGGGAGAGUAUUCUUGAUGAAGGCCCUUCAUCAUUAAGAGAUCGCCCCUGAAUAUCAAGAUAGAUAAAAAAGAUGCAAUCAGUGGAUGCUGCAUUGGAGAAGAGUAGAGCUGAUAUAAUUUAUGCUGUCCUUAAAUGUCAUGCGAUUCCCCCACAAGAAACCAUGUGGUUUUUGGUAAAGAAAAGAGAGCGGUAAUCAGGUGUCGACAAUGUGGUCCCACUGUCUUAUUAUGCUCAAGUUGUGAUGUUGUCACCCAUAAUAGUAAACCAUUACAUGACAGUGUGGCUUGGUUUAAUGGUUUCUACCAGUCAGUUUCCACAACUGAAACAUUCUCGUCAAAUGGGCAGUUGGGGUUUGUUAAACGAUAUGCACCAUUUCUGUUUUGUAAAGAGUGUAUAAAUUGUAACUCUAAGAAUGAAUUAUCCAUUAUUCCAAGUGACGACAUGUGUAUUGUACUCACAAUGAAUGUAGAGCAGAAACAUUGUAUUCAUUUUCAUACAGUUGCUCAUACUGCAAUCAGCAUUUUCACCAAUGGUGAUGGAGAAAGUAGUAAGUGAAGGAUAUUGUCCUGGUAGCCCCACAAAUUUUAACUAUGUUUUCAGUGAAGAUGUAAUUAGAAUGUGGGAUUCCAUCAGAAAGCACAUGCCUGGCAAAUCCGAAUCGGCAUUUUAAAAUCUUUGGGGUCAGUGUCCACUUCAAAGAACAGUGUAAAAUCUCAAUAGUAUAAGAUGUUGUUUUAUAACGAAGAUGCUUCAUAUUAAAGUACCUAACUGAAAUAAUUUACUUAGUCAAAGUAAAUUGCAGCUUUUUUAAUUAACGUAGAAGGUGUUUUAUUUGACUGAAGGCAUUGUUUAUUUUCAUUUUCAUUUCCAGUCAGAUGUUAUUAAACCUAGAGUUUUCCAUCGUGUAUUCAAAGAGUAGUGUUUGUUUGUCAUGAAAUUGACUUAAUUGUGGGGGAAUGGAUACAAUGCCCCAGUUGCUAUAUAUCCCGGCAUUACUGUCAUUUUGAUGGUAAUGCUAAACUCUAUCGCUACAAAUGUGUUCCAAUGUACUGUGUUUUUUAUUAGAAAUGUAAGUAAAAUUUUUGUAAUUUUAAUAAUGUGCAUUGCUUGUGUUUCGAUGUUACCUGUUUUAGCAGUGAAACAUUUGUACUAUGUUGUGUGAAGUCAAAUGAAUGAGAUGUAAAUGAAACGGCUUUCAGCUUUAUUGUUGUUUUAUAGAAGGGGAAGAAAAUGUUACUACCUUAAUGUGUUUAUUAAAGAGGACGAACCUGUCAAGGAGCAUCUAAGGAGUGUUUAUUCCCACAAGUCAGCGAAGGGGCAGUCUGCAAACUCAUACUGUGGAACUUCCCACUGGAAAGCUGCAAAAAUACCACUAAUUCUCUGUCAAAGCUUGACAAAACUGGUUUGGUGGUUGCUGGUUGUCGCCAUUCAAUAGCUCAAGAUGCUGUUGAUAUGCACCAAGGAGAGUUGUAUGGGUAUACCCAUUACAUUCAAAUGAACAAACUAGUUCCUCGCAAAUUCUUUGGCAAGAUAUUAUCUGCAAUUACAUUAGGAGGGCCCUGGCAGCAAGAAACUGGUUACACUACAGGAGAGGAGAUAAAGAAUUUGCUUUAAGAAAACCAGAAAGAACUUGAUGCUCUGUUGAGUGAAAUGAGCAUCGCAGAAUGUCGAGGGAAACUUCAAAUAUGGUUGUCUGAAAUAGCCAACUGUGGAAAACGUUUGUAGCUAAUUUUGCGAAAUUGUCUAUUUGCAAACUAUGGGCAUUAAUAUUUCGUUUGAUUUAUAAUUAGGGUUUGUGCUUAAAAGGUACUUAAAACCCUUGAAAAAUCCUUGAAUAAGGACACUGAAAGAAGUACUUCAAAAUCAAAAAAUUAAAAUCAAAAAGUAGUCCAUAGA
Xenia sp. Carnegie-2017 is the source of this 1939-nucleotide long non-coding RNA. RefSeq lists it as uncharacterized. The transcript is spliced from 7 exons. NCBI's taxonomy places the organism in Eukaryota, Metazoa, Cnidaria, Anthozoa, Malacalcyonacea, Xeniidae. The record is from RefSeq and is a predicted model, not a curated record.